CUAAAUAACAAGACUGGAGGUGCGAAAGCGAAAAAACCGGUGCAGAAAAGAAAGUCCGAUGCUGCUAAUAGGUCCGAUUCAGAACGAGAGUGGGAAGAAAUUGACGCGGGGACCAAGAAGGUGAAGAAGCCUCGCCAGGCGAAAUCUCCUAGGACUACUAGUGGAGCGUCUAAGAAAAAGACUGCCAGCAACCCCUUCGACGU
Molecule: long non-coding RNA, 203 nt
Organism: Leguminivora glycinivorella
Lineage: Eukaryota; Metazoa; Arthropoda; Insecta; Lepidoptera; Tortricidae
Exons: 3
Source: RefSeq, a predicted model, not a curated record